ACUCAAAAAUCAUAGUAUUGAUUCAUAAUAGAGAUCUUAAGCAUGACGUCCACGGCAAACGGCGAAUGGCAGAAAAGAUUGUGUGACCUGCCUUUUGAGGAUUUACCGUUACAGUUUAGGCGCAAGAGUGGGUUAUUUUGGGAUUGCUAAAAUCGUGAAAAGUCGCUCUUUCAAAUGACUAAAAAAACAAGAUCAUGAUUCAAUCAAAAAACAUGAUAAAAUGUAAUCAACAUACUUGUUAACUGUGGUGUUUGUGCAUACAAUGUACUCAGCUUCAUCGGUGUAAGGGUUCUGGAAGCUAAAACAACUUGUUCUUAUCCAAACCCAGUCACCACCCUUACUUCUGAACCGAUAACGUACAGAUAGUGUUUGUCCUUUUAACUUUAUCACUGCAAAACAAUACACAUAAAUAUCAAUCAUUAACAAAUCAAUGUGACAUCAAAACAGUUUACACAUAAUGAGGCUUGAAUAUGUCUUUAUUUCUCCUAGAAUAACCUUCUUAGCAAUAUAAUAUUCUAAUUACCGCAACCUAACGUCUAUUUCACCCUGACCUGAUCCCAGUCUGCCUUGUAACUCACUGGUAGAGCAUCGGUAGUACAAAUCUGAGGGUUGUGGGUUCAAAUCCCAGUGAAGUCAGAAAUUAUUUUUUCUGAAUUUAUCUGCAAGGGUCUUACCCUCCUUCCUAGCACUAUAACUUUCCUAUAUUUCAAUAUCAUAUCUCAUAGUGCUAUGUGCUCUUUACAAUCAUAUCUUUACAUUUAUGUCUUUAUUCACCUUGUUCAUAACUUUCUGUCAUAUGUUUUAAAUCUUCAGGAUGAAAGAAGUCAAAACAGAGUUGUCCUAAUAGCUCUUGAGAACUAUCCUCCAUCUCUGAACAUCUCAUUCGACAGAUAAAAUUUCUUCUUGAAGUUGCUUGUGCUCUUGAAUGAGCUAAAAAAAUAUAGAAAGGACAAGAUUACACUUGAUUCAAUGCACAACUCUUGUAAUAUUAUGAAAAAAAAACACAAUGUAUUUUAAUUGUCCAUUCCUGUGUUGUAUACUUUACAGUGAAAAUCAUUUUCAUUGCGACUUAUUUGUUUUGAAGUUUGUUUUGAUUUUGUUCUUUCCUUCGACCUAAGGGGCGGAGCUUUUUGUAAACUUGUUCAGUCAUUGGCUGGUUUGCAGCAAGCUCUGCCACAAAGUCGCAGAAAAAAACUAAAUUCUCAUGAUUUCUUCUGAACAUUGAAGUCGCAAUGCAAUGGUUUCUGCUGUAAAAGUAACAAGGAGUUUUCUUAGACUAUCUCUUUACCUCCAUGUGAAUCUCUCUUUACAUUACCAGCUGAAAAAUAAACAACACAUUUGUAGA
Exaiptasia diaphana is the source of this 1345-nucleotide long non-coding RNA. RefSeq lists it as uncharacterized. The record is from RefSeq and is a predicted model, not a curated record. NCBI's taxonomy places the organism in Eukaryota, Metazoa, Cnidaria, Anthozoa, Actiniaria, Aiptasiidae. The transcript is spliced from 2 exons.